GGCACCAUUGAAUUUUGUCCUGAACAGCAGCCUUUGAUUCAUGUCUUCAAGGAUGUAUGUAUAAAUGAAGAAUAAUGAAAAAUUGUGGAGAAGUUUCAAGAGUGAUUUGAAGUAAGCUUAUUAUAAACCUUUCGAAGGAAGUGAAAGACGGUGGCAAUGUGAGGAUUCUCGUGUAGGCCCAAACCAGUAGCAGCUGUUGUUUGAACAUUAGGAAAAAGAUGAGACUGCAGUACGUAUUAUUACACAACAGUCAAUAUAUAUAUAUAAUCUGUGCAAUGAUUAAGCAUGUUUUGCUUUUGCGAAUAGUAGGAACAAGCUAAAUGAAAUGCUGAAAAUUGGAGUAAACAAAAGUUGAAUCACACAUCUAGCACAAAGUCUUAUGCGCGAAGCAAAGCACAAUAUGCUGAAAUGCAGGAAAACUUUAAGGGAUUAGUUGAAGAUGAAUGUCCUGAUAAUUUAAAGGCACGAAGAAGAGCUUUGGUUGGGCAACUAAAGUUUUGGAACUCUACUGAUGUAGGCAGACCUUUGUAAUAUUUGGCUAUUGUAAAUUGUAAUCCACAUUGGUACUUUAUAUUUUAUAAGAAUGGUUGUUGUAUCUUGUAUGGUUCAAUCUUUCAGUAUUGUACUUAUAAUUGUCAUUACAUUUUAAAUAUGAAUUAAAAAAAAAUUAGG
This is a long non-coding RNA of Prunus persica (peach), 672 nucleotides long. RefSeq lists it as uncharacterized. Lineage: Eukaryota; Viridiplantae; Streptophyta; Magnoliopsida; Rosales; Rosaceae. The record is from RefSeq and is a predicted model, not a curated record. The transcript is spliced from 2 exons.